RNAcentral lists this ribosomal RNA (235 nucleotides) under uncultured bacterium. Its description in RNAcentral is "partial 16S ribosomal RNA". It matches the Rfam family "Bacterial small subunit ribosomal RNA", at positions 99 to 334 of the family's 1533-position model. The record is from RNAcentral.
CGGACGGGUGAGUAACGCGUGGGUAACCUGCCUCAUACAGGGGGAUAACAGUUAGAAAUGACUGCUAAUACCGCAUAAGCGCACAGUGCUGCAUGGCACAGUGUGAAAAACUCCGGUGGUAUGAGGUGGACCCGCGUCUGAUUAGGUAGUUGGUGGGGUAACGGCCUACCAAGCCGACGAUCAGUAGCCGACCUGAGAGGGUGACCGGCCACAUUGGGACUGAGACACGGCCCAA